Molecule: ribosomal RNA, 495 nt
Filed under: uncultured soil bacterium
Lineage: Bacteria
Description: bacterial SSU rRNA
Rfam family: Bacterial small subunit ribosomal RNA
Source: RNAcentral
AGAGUUUGAUCCUGGCUCAGAAUCAACGCUGGCGGCGUGCCUAACACAUGCAAGUCGAACGCGAAAGUCCCGCAAGGGAUCGGUAGAGUGGCAAACGGGUGAGUAACACGUGGGUGACCUGCCUUCGAGUGGGGGAUAACGUCCCGAAAGGGACGCUAAUACCGCAUGACAUCCUGCCUUUGAACAGGUGGAGAUCAAAGCUGGGGAUCGCAAGACCUAGCGCUUGAAGAGGGGCCCGCGCCUGAUUAGCUAGUUGGUGAGGUAACGGCUCACCAAGGCAACGAUCAGUAUCCGGCCUGAGAGGGCGGACGGACACACUGGGACUGAGACACGGCCCAGACUCCUACGGGAGGCAGCAGUGGGGAAUUGUUCGCAAUGGGCGCAAGCCUGACGACGCAACGCCGCGUGGAGGAUGAAGACCUUCGGGUCGUAAACUCCUUUCGAUCGAGACGAACGGCUUCCGGGCGAAUAUCCCGGGAGAUUGACGUACCGAGA